CCGUCAUAUAACCGUGGUUAUAUAACCGGCAUAUUACCAUGGUUAUAUAACCAGCAUAUAACCAUGGUUAUAUAAUCGGCAUAUAACCAUGGUUAUAUAACCG
Molecule: non-coding RNA, 103 nt
Organism: Tribolium castaneum (red flour beetle)
Lineage: Eukaryota; Metazoa; Arthropoda; Insecta; Coleoptera; Tenebrionidae
Source: RefSeq, marked provisional